GCACACUUUCCUAAACAGGCGCCGCACAAAUUGCUAUUGUGAAGAAGGCUGGAUGGCUGCCUAAAAAGCAAAGCGAAACAAGCGCCACGUAGUGCUCGAUAAGGAAACGGUCCGUUCCGCUUUCAAUAGUGCAGCCAUUUUGGGCGCCUUGAGUUUUGGUAAUGAGCUUGCAAUGAGGGUUAAUAAACACCAUGGGUCCCCUGAGAGAACCUUUAUUUUACUGGAUCUGUUGUCAUCACACAUAACCUUAUACAGAACAGGUGGGAAGAAGUUUCUCCAGUUGCCCACCUGAGAUACUGAAGACUGGAAUUUUCAUAGGCUGUUCACACCUGAACCUUGGCAGAUGUGUCUAGAGUAAAAGGCUCGGCCUCACUUGGCAUGAAGUAUCUGGCGGAAAGUAUCUUUUCCUAUUGGCUCCAUGAAUUUAUGGAAUUAUCUUUGCUGAUGGGUCUGCUGAAUGGCAUCUCUGCAGAAGUAACGCCUUUUUGCUUGGGCUGUGCCUUUGACCACCUUGGCCUAUGCAGGUGAAUAUACUGAUUGUUUUGUUUUCACUGUUUGCCUUUUUAGACGUGUGUAAAGUGUAUAGGAACAAUUGUAACUAAUGUUCUGUUUAUUCCUCAACUUGAACAUAAUUUAAUGUCCAUUUCAAAACUUCUAUGAAUUUUGAAGUUACAUUUGUUGAAGAGAGAUGUGAAAUGGAAAGGUUUGCAUAGCAGGAAAGCUAGAAAAUUCAUUGUAUCUUAUAAGGGGAAAUUGUUUGGAAUCUUACAACAAAGAAAAUUUAAAAGUAGAGAUGACAAUGUAAAAUGGG
Podarcis muralis (Common wall lizard) is the source of this 811-nucleotide non-coding RNA. Lineage: Eukaryota; Metazoa; Chordata; Lepidosauria; Squamata; Lacertidae. The record is from RefSeq and is a predicted model, not a curated record.